Molecule: long non-coding RNA, 35231 nt
Filed under: Citrus x clementina
Lineage: Eukaryota; Viridiplantae; Streptophyta; Magnoliopsida; Sapindales; Rutaceae
Description: Citrus clementina (C. clementina) long non-coding RNA (CCLE_LNC006862)
Source: RNAcentral
AUAAAAUUAAAAGAUGAGUGGAUAUGGAUUUAGAUAUUAAGAUAGAUCCAUAUCUACUCCAGAUCCGUCUUAGAUCCGCACAUCGAUAUCCAAAUCCGAUCCAAAUCCAUUUUAAACCGAUCCAAAUCCGAUCCGAUUGGAUUUGGAUCACAUGGAUCUUGGAUCAAAUCCAAUCCAUUGCCAUCUCUAACUAAAUCGAGUUCCUUCGUUUGAGUGAAACUGACUAUUAUGGAAUGAGUUAUAUCUCUUUUUCCCAGCAUGCAACUGAAAUUUAAAAUUUUGUUCAUUAAAAAUAAACAUGAUUAGAGAGGGAGAUAAUUUUUUUUUUCCCCCCAAAGGCUAAUAAGGUGGGACAGUGAGUCUUUGUGUUUGGCAAAAUAAUGAACAUUUAAGCGUCGUACGUUUGAAAGUUAUUCAACCAGAUUCCAGACCAGUUUGCUAGUAAACAAACGUGUCACGUUGUAUUGUAUUCCUUCCGUUGCUUAUUCUUUGGUUAAUAAAUUUUCAAUAAAAUUAAAAAAAAAAAAAAAAAAAACCAUUCGGUUGGGCGUUUCAUCAACUAUAUCCACAAACUCAAAUUCAGGAUUUGUGUUCUAUUCUGAUUUAAGCUUUAUGUUGGUCUUUCUAUAAGAAUGUAUGUAAUCAAAUCUCAAUUAUUUUCAAAAUAUACGCACAACUGAACAUCCAAUUUCACAAAUUCAACCUCGUUCAUUGCUUCUGCCCGAGCAACCCCACUUGGUUUGGUACCCCUUGUUUUUGUCUUUUUCAAGGUGAACUACAAUGGAGUCCUGUUAUUUGUUAUGAAAAUAAAAAUAAAAUAAAAUAAUUUUUUUUAAUUUUUUACACAUUAGUCCUGCACCUACACGUAGCAUCAUUUUUCUCACCCAUUUUUCACCAUCAAUAACAUCAUUUUUCUCACCCAUUUUAAUUAAAAGGUAAUUAAAAUUAUUUUCAAUAUAAAAACAGAAUAAUAAAACAAAAUUAUUACUCUUAUUUUUUAAUUAACUACACAAGAUAUUUUACAUUAAAAAAUAUAGAUAGCCACUAGUGACCACUGCUUCUUCACGUGCAAUGACAUUAUUGAUUGAAAGGGGCCAUGAAGGGUACCAUUAGACUUGAAAUUGGAUGAUCUACACAAUGAUAGUCUCAAUGCCAGAAAAUGGUGAUAUGUAGAGUUGUACGCCCCUUCCAAAAUAACUGCAACCAUAACCACACCACAAAAACACAACAAGUUACAUUACACUACCACAUUUUUUUUUUUCAAUUUAGAGACCCUCAAUUUGGUUGUUAAAGGCAAUGAACCUUGAAACGUCGUCUAAUCAUGGGGUCUUGCUAUAGUUGUUUGCAUAGGAAGGUGCAUCUAUCGUCGACACAUCCAUUUAUCCGGCAAACAUUGCCACCAUCACAUAGAUGAUUGGAGAAUUUUCAAUCUAUUGAUAGUAUUUAUGUUUCUAUUCACUCACUUCUAUUUCUUAGCGAUGGUGCCGUCAUUGUUGUUGUUGAUGGUGCAAUAAUUUUUAGCAAUGUUAUUUCGAUUUUUCAUCUAAUUUACAAAACUUAAAUAUUAAUUAUAAUAUUCAAUUUUAAUCUUGUAUGCUCAACUAUUACUAAUAUUCAAGUUCAUGAAUGAAUAUCAGAUAAAUCAAAUUCGGAGUAUUUUGGAUGGAUAUUAUCCAAUCUAUUUGGAUCAAAUACUUAGAUAUCCAACUUGAAUGGAUUUGUUUGCUCUUCCUAGUUGUCAACUCGAUUAAUAACAGUUUUAAAACUCCUAAUAUGAUAACCUAUUUACGACACAAUUAAUUAUACUAAUUGACUUAUAUUUUAAUGGAUAGAUAUGUGCUGAACUGCCAUCUCUAUUGUUAUCCAUGUGCGAUGUUAGCAAAAGAGAAGAAAGAAAAUAUAUUACUUAUCAUUAUUCUAUUUUUACUAAAAAAUAUUUAAAUUAUUUUCAAAUAGAGUAAUUGUUUAGAUUUUGUUUUUUACCCUUCUCUCAGAUAAGUUAAUAAAAAUCUUAAUCAUAUGGAUGUGUGCUAAUGACUAUUUAAACUGUUUAGGUGGAGUAACAAAUAUCAAUUUUAUUCAAGUUUGUGAUUAAAUUUAUUCUUUUCAUUUAAUGACAAAAAAUCAACCAAAAAUACAAAACUCAUUGUUCAAAAAAACAAAAAAAGAUUUUAUAAAUUCGUAAACUAACACUUUAUUAUUAUUAGUAUAUUAACAUAUUUUUACUACCUAAUUAGAUAAUUGACAGUAUGUUAAAUAAAUAUUAUGUUACAAAAAAAUAAAACAUUAACUACAUAGAAUUUGAAAUUAAAUUUAUAUUUCGUAUUUUGUACAUUUCAUCCACUUGAUAUAGUAAAGUCUCUUGAAUUAAAAAAAAAAAAAAAGUUAUGGGGUUUGAACCUUGUUCACAUGGGUAAGAGGAAAUUGGUUGCUGUUAUGUUGAAUUAAAAAAAAAUAUAUUUAUAUUUAUCAUUAAUUAUGAUUAGUAAAUAAUAUACAUAUUUUAACUAUAUAGUAAAAUAGUUAAUUUAUUAAUUAAUAUGUAAAUUUAUUAAUUUAAAUAGAUAUUAAUAAAUGUAAAAUAAGUCAUUUAAUUGGAAACCUAGUUCAAUAGUGUAAAAAAAAUUAGAAUAUUAUGGACUUAUAUGUUAUAAUUUUAAAACUUUUGAUUUUUCUUAUUUUACAAAACAAUAAGGACUUUUAAUGUUAAUAACCCAAUAAUCUCAUCUAAGCCAUUGCACAACUCUUGACAAAAAAUGGGAUACCAAACCCCAUGGGUUUCGUAGUUGGACCCUAAUUUUAUAUAUAUACAUACAUACAUACAUAUUGUUGAAAAGUCAAAGAAUUGCUUGCCAAAUUGAAAAGGCAAAGUUGGUGGGUUUGCCAAAUUCAAAAAAAACAAAGUUGGUCGGCUAAGCAAUUUCAAAAGACAAAGUUAGGUGUUGAAAAGCUUGUGCAUGCAAUACAAGAUCCAGCUCAACGGUUUGACAAAUUGAACCCAACUUGGAGCAGAAUUCACUCUAUAAAUAGAGAAGCAUUUUGCAAUUGUAAGUAUCCCAAUUUGAGAGAAGUAGAGAGCAAUUGCAAGUGAGUUCUUUGAGAGAAUUUGAGAGAGCUUCCACUUGAGUGUUCUAGUGAGGUUCCAUUUGGGUGUAUUGGGGUUGUGGGUUUUGUGAGUUUUUCCCACUUUUGUAAAUUUCAUUGUUAGUAAAAUUAUCUUCCAGUUUUUUGCCCGUGGACGUAGGCAUUACGCCGAACCACGUAAAUCAUUGUGUUCUAUUUUCUUUGCAUUUGUUUAUCACCACAUUUAUAUUUCUCCAAAAGUUGCAGUAUUAGUAAUUGCUCAACCCACGUUUCCGCAACAAGUGGUAUCAGAGCCAGGUUCGUACUUGGGGGGAUACGGUACUAUUCACGUAUAUGGUACUGUUCACGUAGACGGUACUAUUCCUAUAUACGGUACUGUUCACAAAUACGGUGAAGACGACCAUUUAUACUUAGGAGACAGUCUAUUGUAAGUAGUGUGUAUUUUUGCAUGUCUAGGAAAGUUCUGUCAACAAAGGCGAUAAGAGUCUAAGGAUUAUGGUUUUUAAUUGGGACCGAGUUCCCGUCCAGUCUCCUGGGAACUUUCCUGGUGCAUUUAUUCACGCAAAAUAAACAUCAUAGAGGCUGUUUUUUAAGUGUAAAUAGUUGUUGAAGAAACUGAUCAUUUGAGAUAAAAAGGAUGGCAGAGGCAUCGUCGUCGUCUUCAUCAGUGAGAACUACUGUGACUAAUGCAAAGUUUGAAGUGGAGAAAUUCGAUGGUACCAAUAAUUUUGGUAUGUGGCAAUGUGAGGUGUUGGAUGUCUUAUGUCAACAAGAGUUGGACGUUGCUCUUGAAGAAAAGCCUGACGUGAUGGACGACAAAGAGUGGAUAAAAAUCAAUAGACAGGCAUGUGGUACUAUUCGCCUAUGUCUGACUAAAGAUCAGAAAUACUCCGUCAUGAGGGAGACAUCGGCAAAGAAAUUGUGGGAGACACUGGAAGAAAAGUAUAUGAAGAAAAGUCUUGAAAAUAGGCUUUAUAUGAAAAAUAAACUCUAUCGAUUUACAUAUACACAUGGCAUGUCAAUGAAUGAUCACGUGAACUCAUUCAACAAGAUAUUAGCGGAUUUGCUAAAUCUGGAUGAGAGAUUUGAAGAUGAAGAUAAGGCACUGUUGUUGUUGAAUUCACUUCCUGAUGAAUAUGAUCAUCUCACCACUACUUUGCUUCAUGGGAAGGACAGUGUCACGUUCGAUGCUGUAUGCAGUGCAUUGUACAACUCUGAGACCAGAAAGAAAGAUAGAAAGGAUCACAGAGAUACAGUUGCAGAAGCACUGACAGCGAGAGGUCGUUCGCAAAGUCGCAAACCUGGAAAAAGGAACAAGUCUAAAGGGAGACCUGCCAAAGAUGAAUGUGCUUUUUGUCGCGAGAAAGGGCAUUGGAAAAAGAAUUGUCCUAAGUUACAAAAGGGCAAGGCUACUUCUGAUGCAUGUGUAGCAGAGCAUGAUGAGGAGUCAGACUUUAGUCUGGUUGGCAUGACAUUGAUAUGUCACUCAGAUGAGUGGAUUUUGGAUUCAGGUUGUACUUAUCAUAUGUGUCCUAACAAGGGCUGGUUUUCUAACUUCAAGGAGCUAGACGGUGGAGUUGUUUUUAUGGGCAAUGACAAUGCUUGUAAAACCAUGGGAAUAGGUACAAUCCAAUUAAAAAAUCAUGAUGGCUCAAUCCAAGUUUUGACAGAUGUUCGUUAUGUACCAAGCUUGAAGAAAAAUCUCAUCUCAUUAGGAGUCCUAGAAUCUAAAGGGCUCAUAAUCUCUUUAAGAGAUGGAUUGUUGAAGGUAGUAGCUGGGGCGCUGACGAUAAUGAAAGGCACAAGAAGAAAUAACUUGUACUAUUUCCAAGGAAGUACAGUUAUUGGAUCAGCAUCAACAGUUUCUGGAAAAGAUGCAGAUUCAGAAGCAACCAAGUUGUGGCAUAUGCGUUUGGGACAUGCUGGUGAAAAAGCUUUGCAGACUUUAGCGAAGCAAGGCUUAUUGAAAGGUACAAAUUCUUGCAAAUUAGAAUUUUGUGAACAUUGUGUUCUGGGCAAGCAGACAAGGGUAAAGUUUGGCUCAGCAAUUCAUAAUACAAAAGGAAUUCUGGACUAUGUUCACAGUGAUGUGUGGGGACCUACCAAAACAGCUUCUUUGGGAGGUAUGCACUAUUUUGUUACUUUUGUUGAUGAUUAUUCAAGAAAAGUGUGGGUGUAUUUGAUGAAGAACAAAAAUGAAGUUUUGGGCAUAUUUCUGAAAUGGAAGAAAAUGGUCGAGACUCAGACUGGUCGAAAGAUCAAAAGAUUUCGUUCAGACAAUGGUGGUGAGUACAAGAAUGAUCCAUUUCUUCAAAUAUGUCAAGAUGAGGGUAUUGUGCGACAUUUCACUAUUCGAGAUACACCACAACAGAAUGGGGUGGCAGAACGCAUGAACCGGACUAUACUGGAGAAAGUUCGGUGUAUGUUGUCCAAUGCUGGAUUGGACAAAGAGUUUUGGGCUGAGGCAGUUGUAUAUGCGUGCCAUCUGAUCAACCAUUUGCCAUCAACUGCAAUUAAAGGCAGAACACCCAUGGAGAUGUGGACUGGUAAACCUGCUACUGAUUAUAAUUCUUUACAUGUUUUUGGUUCCACUACUUAUUAUCAUGUAAAAGAAUCUAAGUUAGACCCAAGAGCAAAGAAAGCAUUGUUCAUGGGUAUAACUGGUGGAGUAAAAGGAUACCGUCUCUGGUGUCUGUUGAGUGUUAGAAAAUGCAUAUUUAUAAAGGAGAAAACCGUCAUUUUAUAUUUCAAGUCUUACUAACAACCCUUACUUUUAUGUAUUUAACCUUCUUGUGAUGUAAUUACGUGUGUGUUAUUUUAAUUAAGUAUUUUAUGUAUUUUAGGGGCAUUAUAGUCAUUUCACAAUAAAGGAGAGAUCAGACGGCAAAACGGACAUCACUUUUGAACUCAGGACGGUCGAAAACCUUAGGAGGAGCAUAAAAGGAAAAAUGGCACUAUUCACAUGUACGGUACUAUUCACGUAUACGGUACUGUCUACGUUACUGUUCACGAUACUGUUCACAUAGACGGAUCGAUGACGUGGCAUUGACCGAUGAUGUGGCAUUGACUGAUGAGGUGUCACGAUCCUGUUGGACUAAAAUUCUUAUGUACUGUUGACGGUGACGUGGCAGCAUAUCAGUGGACGAAAAAUCUCGUGUACGGUGCAUGCAUCACACAGGAUUAUUUUCAACCAAACCGCGUUACUGUUCAUCCGGGUCAAACCGUGUUACUGUUCAUCCGCGUGGUCAAACCGUGGACUGUUGACUGAUGACGUGGCGCAAUCCUGAGCGUCCAAACUGUUUUUAAUCCAAUGGCCAUGAUUUACUCCAUGUAUCUAUAAAAAGGGGGCCUCCCCCCCCUAAUUUGAUAUCUCUGAAUCCAUUUUUGGGAUCCAUUUUCUGUAAUUCCCUCUCCAUCUUGUAUUUUCUUUGUAUUUUAAUAAAUUCCCAUUUUGCCCCUAGUUCAAUUAUGAGUAGCUAAUUUCUUUUCAAGCUUAGGUUGAAGGUGAAGUCUCAACAUGUGUCAUGGGCUUUAUUUGGUAAAUUUAUUUUCUUUUCCCCUCUAGUUUUUGUGGAUGAUUUGACUUAUCGUCGACAAAUAAUACUGAUCUUGUCUAGAUACCGCCUUGGUUACACCGGCUCUCUAGUAUAAGGUUAUUAUUAUUUGGCACGAUAAGCCCUUAGCACCAUAUUGAUUAGAGCGUGGUUCAUGAGGUGUGGAUUCCCCCCUCAUGAUUUAAUUGGCAUUAAUAUGGAUUAUUUAGCCCAUGAUGCAUGUUGAUACGGAUCCAGAUACCCAAGUACGUUAUUUCAAUAGAUUUCUCUUCAAUUUACUCUCGCCAUUGCAAUUCCAGUCUUAGAAUUUAUUAUCGCCAUUUCAAUUCCAAUUUUAGGAUAAUUUAAAUCACUUCCACCACAAUUCCAACCACCCAUUUACAAAAUUAAUUCUACAUAUAAUUAAAAUCCACCUCCUCGUGGGAUCGACACUCGUCACCAUUAGUCUAUACUACAAUAGAUUCGUGCGCUUGCGAGUACAUUAAAAUUUGCACAACAAGUUUUUGGCGCCGUUGCCGGGGAGGUAAGUAAUUUUAAUUCAUAGAAUUAAUUUUUGUGAAUAAUUCCAUUUAAUUGUUUUCUUGUAUUUUUUAUUAUUUAAAAAAAAAGAAAAAAAAGUGAAUCUAAAAUUAAAGGUUAGUAUUUCUUUUCUUUCUCUAUUCUUUACAAUUCUGCAAUUUAAUUUUUAAAGUAUUUUUCUUUGUAAUUUUUUUUAAUCUUAUUAAUUUAAUUUUUAGUUAAUCUAUUUCAUCUCUUUAAAAUUCUGUAAUUUAAUUUCAAGUUAUUAUUAUUUUUUUUUCUUUUUAAUUUUUUUUAUCUUAUUAUUAUUAUUAUUUUUAGAUUAAUUUAUUUCACGUAUUUUUUUUGUGUAUGUUUAUAGAAAGGUUGUAAUAGCGCAAUAAGGUUAGUAUCGUAAUUUCUCCCUCUUAUUUAUUUUUAUUUGUUUUGUUCCCAUCUUUAUUUUUAUUUUAUUUUGCAUGCAUGGUCGUAGGUCAUUAUUACCAAAUCUUGAACCUAUAGACAUUGAAUUAGAAAAAACACUUCGCACACAAAAGCACAUUAAUAAAUUUGAAAUGGAUUUACAAGCACCACAGGAGAGGCCAUUUAAGGACUACUUCAGUCCUUUAGCUAAUUUAAGCACAUCAUGCAUAAGAUACCCAAAUGUAGCUGCUAGGAGUUUUGAACUAAAACCUAGUGUGCUAAAUUGUCUCCCCACAUUCUAUGGCUUAGAAAAUGAGGACCCAUAUAAUCAUUUGAAUGAUUUUCAUGCAAUUUGUCAAACUUUUAAAUAUGAAAAUUUUUCAGACGAUGAUGUUAAACUUAGAUUAUUCCCAUUUUUUUUAAAGGAUAGAGCUCGUUCAUGGUUAAAUACUUUGCCUGCUAAUAGCAUUGCAUCAUGGGAACAAAUGGUUACAAAAUUUCUAAAUAAAUAUUUCCCAGUGCAUAAAACCAAUUCUAUUCGCAGGGAAAUUUCAGAGUUUACACAAAGAGAGGACGAGCAGUUUUUCGAAACUUGGGAGCGAUUCAAUGGGCUACUCUUGAAGUGUCCACAUCAUGGGUACGAAAAAUGGCACCAAUGCCAAUACUUUUUGGAGGGAUUAUUGCCGAAUGUGCAAGAAUGGCUAAUGGCAACAAGUGGAGGAGAGCUAAUGUCAAAAAGCGCAACAGAGAUUUGGGAAUUCUUCCAGCGACAAGCGGACAAUUCCCAACAACGGAGUCGAUCACUCAGGAAUACUAGAAGGAUUAAAGGAGUGAAUGAGGUUCACAUUGGCGAGUCAACUUCGGGAAUCAAAGAAGUCAAGGAGAUGGUUGAAGGUCUUGCUCGACAAAUAGCAUCGUUAUCGACUGCUAAAUCAACAGAAUCACAUGACCCUGACUCAUAUCCAGAUCAAGCCAAUGCCAUAGGUGUAAUGAGAAAGCCAUCUAAUUACAACCCAUACUCCAACACAUAUAAUCCUGGAUGGAGAGACCACCCCAAUUUUUCAUGGUCUCAAGGAUUUCAACAGAAUGGACCAGCAGCUCCAGCUCCACCAAUGCAACCAAUUCCUCAAAAUCCUCAAGCCUCUCAGCCACCAUUCAGACCAUACAAUCAGAACCAAAACUAUUCUCAACCCAGACCAUGGGAGGAUGCAUUCCAGAAUUUCAAGAAUGUUACUCACUCCACGAUUGAGCAACAGAACCGCACCAUUGAUGGACUACGAAAUGAAUUGAGAGUGGGCUUUAACUCACAAGCCCAAUCAGUUUCAAGCCUCGAGAAGAUGGUGGGACAACUUGCUUCUUCAGUUCAGACCUUGGCAAUGACUGUUGAGAAAGGAAAAUUUCCAAGUCAACCAGUGCCUAAUCCUAAAGGAGUACAUGAAGCAAGUAUCAGUUCACCACAACAGCAUGGAGAGGUCAAAGCAGUCAUGACCUUGCGAAAAGGAAAGGAAGUCGACAACAAAGUGGAGAUGCCGGUGACAAAAGAAAAUCAAAUUGUACCUGUGAAUGUUGAAGACUCACCACCGGAGGAAAAAGAAGAAACCAACCCACGAGAAUACGUUCCCAAAGCUCCAUUUCCUCAGAGGUUAGUGAAAGGAAAGAAGGGAAAAUCCACAGGUGAGAUUCUCGAAAUCUUCAAACAGGUAAGUGUUAAUAUCCCUUUACUUGAUGCUAUAAAGCAAGUUCCAUCUUAUGCCAAGUUUCUUAAAGACCUUUGUACUAAAAAGAGAAAUAUGCAUGUUCAAAAGAAGGCAUUUUUAACAGAAAACGUUAGUUCUAUACUCCAACAUAAAAUUCCUUUAAAAUGCAAAGACCCAGGCUCCCCCACUAUCUCAUGUAGUAUAGGGAACCACACAAUUGAGAAUGCUUUGUUGGAUUUAGGAGCUAGUGUAAAUCUUCUGCCUUACUCUGUAUUCGUGAAACUUGGAUUGGGAGAAUUACACCCAACUCCAGUGGUGUUACAGCUUGCAGAUCGGUCCACGAAAAUACCUCGUGGUAUUGUGGAGGACGUGCUUAUCCAGGUAGACAAGUUUUAUUUUCCUGUUGAUUUCAUUGUAAUUGACACUCAACCAAUACAGGACUCAAGGAAGCACAUCCCCAUUAUUCUAGGCCGACCUUUCUUGGCAACUGCAGAUGCUCAUAUUCAAUGUAGGACCGGAAAUAUGCAAUUGUCCUUCGGCAACAUGACUAUGGAGCUAAACAUUUUCAACAUUGCCAAACAACCUCACAGUGCAGAUGAUGGAAUUGUUGAUGUGGAUUUAAUAGAAACAAUAGUUGAUAAUACUUUUCUUUCAAACCUUAGUGAUGAUCCUUUACAAACAUGUUUAACUCACUUUGGUUUGGAUUUUGAUAUUGACAGAUCGGUCGAAGAGGUCAACGCCCUACUUGACUCAGCACCAUCCAUGAACACUAAUAAAUGGAAGUCAAGAGUUGAACAACUAGCACCAUCAGAGAAGAAACUCAUUCCAUCAUCAGAAUCACCACCGAAACUCGAGCUCAAACCAUUACCCAACACUCUGGAAUAUGCAUUUUUGGGAGAAGAAAGUACUCUGCCGGUAAUCAUCUCAUCAUCCCUAAAUGACGAACAAAAAGGUAAGUUGUUGGAUGUUUUAAAAGAGCACAAAGGGGCAUUAGGAUGGGCCAUAGCAGACAUAAAAGGUAUAAACCCAGUAGACUGCAUGCAUUACAUUCACCUUGAUGAAAAUGCUAAAACUACUAGGGAGAUGCAACGUCGGUUAAAUCCUAACAUGAAAGAAGUUGUUAGAACUGAAGUCCUUAAGCUAUUAGAUGCAGGUAUCAUUUACCCAAUUUCUGAUAGUUCAUGGGUCAGUCCUGUACAAGUCGUCCCCAAAAAGUCAGGAGUCACAGUAGUUACCAAUGCUGAUAAUGAAUUGAUACCAACUAGAGUAACUACAGGAUGGCGUGUAUGCAUUGAUUAUAGAAAGUUGAAUUCUGUCACACGUAAAGACCAUUUUCCUUUACCAUUUAUUGAUCAAAUGCUUGAUAGAUUAGCAGGCCAUGAAUUUUAUUGCUUUCUAGAUGGCUACUCAGGAUAUAAUCAGAUUCCCAUAGCACCAAAAGAUCAAGAGAAGACCACUUUCACUUGUCCUUUUGGCACAUUUGCAUAUAGGAGAAUGCCAUUUGGAUUAUGUAAUGCACCUGCUACAUUUCAACGAUGCAUGUUGAGCAUUUUUUCUGAUAUGGUUGAACGAUUCCUUGAAGUCUUUAUGGAUGAUUUUUCUGUCUUUGGUGACUCGUUUGAUCAAUGUUUACAUCAUCUAACGCUAGUUCUGCAGAGAUGUACCGAGAAGAACUUAGUCUUAAAUUGGGAGAAGUGUCAUUUUAUGGUAAAACAAGGUAUUGUUCUCGGUCACAUCAUUUCGAGCAAAGGUAUUGAGGUUGACAAAGCCAAGGUGGAUCUCAUUUCUAAUCUUCCUCCACCUAAAACAGUCAGAGAAGUAAGAUCUUUCCUUGGGCAUGCUGGUUUCUAUAGACGUUUCAUUAAAGAUUUUAGCAAAGUUUCUAGACCCUUAUGCAAUUUACUUGCUAAGGAUGUACCUUUUAUCUUUAAUGAUUCAUGUCUUAUGGCUUUUGAAAAAUUAAAGCGAUUGUUGACAUCAUCACCCAUCAUUCAGGCCCCAAACUGGAGCUUACCAUUUGAGCUCAUGUGUGAUGCAUCUGAUUAUGCAGUAGGAGCAGUAUUAGGACAAAGAGUUGAUCGAAUUCCCCACGUUAUUUACUAUGCUAGUAUGACAUUGAAUGAUGCACAGUUGAAUUAUUCAACUACUGAAAAAGAAAUGCUAGCAGUAGUGUUUGCAUUAGAGAAAUUUCGAUCUUAUCUCAUUGGUUGUAAAAUAAUUAUAUUCACAGAUCAUGCUGCUCUUAAAUAUCUUCUCACAAAGAAAGAUGCAAAAGCUAGACUAAUUCGUUGGGUGUUACUUUUGCAGGAAUUCGACUUGGAAUUCAAGGAUAAGAAAGGCACAGAAAAUGUUGUGGCGGACCACCUCUCUCGUCUCCAUUUUGACACAAUUACAGAGCCAUUAAUAUUAAAUGAGUCAUUUCCAGAUGAACAAUUAAUGAAUGUGGAAGUAUUACCUUGGUAUGCUGAUAUAGUUAAUUAUCUUGUUACAGGUAACCUUCCAGAGCAUUGGACCAAGCAAGACAAGGCUAAAUUCUUUGCGGAAAUAAAGAAUUUCUUUUGGGAUGACCCAUAUUUGUUCAAGUAUUGUGCAGACCAAAUUGUUAGACGAUGUGUCCCUGAAAAUGAAAUUCAGAAUAUUCUUUCAUUCUGCCAUGCACAAGCUUGUGGAGGCCACUUCAGUGCUAAGAAAACCGCGACUAAAGUUUUACAAUGUGGUUUUUAUUGGCCAACUAUAUUUCGAGAUGCUUACACUUUCUGUUCUUCAUGUGAUAGGUGUCAACGAAUGGGGAGCAUUACACGAAGGAACAUGAUGCCACUAAAUCCAAUUUUAGUGGUUGAGAUUUUUGACUUAUGGGGUAUCGACUUCAUGGGACCCUUUCCCCCUUCUUUUGGCCAUCAAUACAUAUUGGUUGCUGUUGACUACGUAUCGAAAUGGGUGGAAGCAAUUCCAUGCAGAACCAAUGAUCACAAAGUGGUGAUAGGAUUUUUGAAAAGCAACAUUGUUUCACGCUUUGGAUUCCCUCGAGCAAUAAUCAGUGAUGGUGGUGCCCACUUUUGUAACAAAGCAUUCAAAGCUCUUUUGACAAAGUAUUCAAUCACACACAAAGUGGCGACCCCGUAUCAUCCGCAAACCAGUGGCCAAGUUGAGAUCUCCAAUCGAGAAAUAAAGCACAUAUUAGAAAAGACGGUGAGGCCAGACAGAAAAGAUUGGUCAUUAAGACUUGAUGAUGCAUUAUGGGCAUAUAGAACGGCUUUCAAGACCCCGAUUGGGAUGUCACCCUACAGGCUAGUGUAUGGAAAAGCUUGCCACCUACCUGUGGAACUCGAGCAUCGUGCAUAUUGGGCCAUCAAGAAAUUCAACUUUGACAUGCAGCAAGCCAGCUCAGAAAGAAGAUUACAACUGGCAGAACUUGAAGAAAUUCGCAAUGAUGCAUACGAAAAUGCCAAGAUUUACAAGCAACGAAUGAAAGUCUUUCAUGACAAGCACAUUAUGAGAAAAUCGUUCACUACAGGUCAGAAAGUGCUUUUAUUCAAUUCUCGUUUGCACCUAUUCCCAGGUAAGUUACGCUCUCGAUGGUCUGGUCCCUUUAUUGUUCAUACUGUUUUUCCACAUGGGGCAAUUGAAAUUAAGGACCCAACGAACGGUGUCACGUUUAAAGUUAAUGGUCAAAGAUUAAAGCCAUAUCUAGAAUACCAACCACAUGGAGAAGACACCGAAAUAAAUUUGAAUGACCCACCAGAUUUGAAUUGAUUUGUUUUUUCUUUUCGUUGAUUUGAUUUUUCUUUCUUUCUUUUUAUUAUUCUUUUGCUAAUUGAAAUUAUUUUUGCAUAAGUGUGUUUGUCUAACUAUUAAGUUUUCUCUUAUCAUUUUUAAUCAUGAGUACCUUACUUAGACCGUUCCUCCUGAACAUUCUUAAACCACUUCAACGUGUCAAAACUCAUCUCAAAAGGCAGAUUCAAUUUUGUAAAACACAUCGCAUUUGGGCUCUACAACCACCAGAGUUAGUAGCCUAUGUUGAGAAUCUAGAAAGCCAACUCCGAGAUAUUGAGAGAAGUGUUUACGACAUCCAGUUGGAGCUUGAGGUAAAUUCAAUAAGAGGACGAUUUUAAUUUUCUUUGUGUGUUUUAAUUUGUUUUUCUGUUUGUGUGCUUUAGUUUGUUACCCCGGUGAAGUGGCGGAUAACGGUACUCCGUGACAAUCAAGUCGGUUAACUUCAGUUUCCCAUAAUAACUGAUAUUCUGAGGCGAAGGUAUGCAUAGAAACGAGAUUUUAGCAAAGCUUCACAAGCGAUUCCCUUCACUUCCUCAGAAUGCCCUCUUUACAAUCUAUAAAGCCCGGUCUGAACGCAUGCGAUUGCUCAUGAGGAAUAACAUACCUGCAGACAUCCGUUGGUUAAUCGAGGCUAAAGUACGAUUGGCAGGUGAGUUACCUCCUAAAUUUAUUGCAUACAUGCCUGGUUGUGGUAAAGGAAAUUAUGCAAGAAAACGACGAGCUCGAAGAAUUUCUGUUGCUUGUCAUAAGUGUGCCAGAAUGAGUUGCGAUAGAAACCCAUGUUCUUUAGGAAUGGUGUCUGAUAACAGGGAAGAUAAGAUUCAAUUCAUUAGGGAUGGCUUGAAUAAGGAGUCAUUGGAUGAUAUCCUUUUGUCUCUUGAAACGCAUCCCAGUGGAUAUGUGCAAGGAGCGAUUCUCCGGUUAUGGCCAUUAUUCCAGAAAGAGCAUGCACGAUAUAGUCUCGGGAAUCUGACUAUAAACGACCCUGUUUGCCAGUUUAUAAGAAAACUGGAUGGGAAGCCCAUCCUCGACCCAUAGAGGGCGUUCAAGCCGUUUCUGGACGUAAAACCAGAGGAAGAUGUGAGCCACAGUCGCAACUACGUGUAAAUAUCCUUUUACUUUACUUCAUUUCACUGUUGUUUUAUUGUUUGCAUUAUUGUCUUUAAUAAUUUUAUUACUGUUUGUUUUUUCCUUUUUACUGUUUCCUUUUUGACUCGCGAGCCACGUGCUUUACGCGUUAUUUGACACUGACAUGUUACCUCAUUCACAGCUGUGAUCCAUUGUCACCAAGAUUCUUAAAUGUGAUUUAUCUUUUGUCAAGCACUCACAAAUUAUUUUUGAGAAGUAUCACAAUGGCAGCUACUCCCAAUAGACAAUUCAAGAACAUUUGUGUGCUUUCUGGAUUUACCUAUGGCAAACAUAAAGAGUUCGUUGAGGCAGCCAUAGAUCUUGGUCGAAGCAUAGCAGCGAGAAAAUUACACUUGGUGUAUGGAGGAGGUAACCGAGGGUUAUCAAAAAUGGUCUCAGAAGCAGCUUUUAUCAGAGGAAGUCAAGUGUUAGGCAUCAUCCCAAGAGUCCUAAAACCAUUGGGCAGUUCGUCUGACUCAUCAACUGGAGAAGAGUUAGUCGUCUCAGGUAUGCAAGAAAGAAUAACUGAAAUGCUUAAUCAUGCUGAUGCUUUUAUUUUCCUUCCAGGAGAUCUUGCAACACUAGAGGCACUUAUCACACUAGCAUCUUGGGCCCAUCUGCACAUCCACCAGAAACCCAUCGGUUUGUUAAAUGUCAAUAACUUUUAUGAUGGCUUUAUCGCAUUUCUUAACCAUGCAAUAAAAAACUAUUUCAUUCAUUCUAAUGUGAAAAAACUCUUUAUUUGUGCUCACACUGCUAAUGAGCUACUUGAUAUGUUACAAGCUUAUAAACCGGAGCCAGACCCCUGGACCUUUGUGUUGGAGCGACCAAAUAAUGAUGGUAACAGUAGCCGCAGUAAGAAGUACAAAUUAGAUUUAACUCUCCGCCUGUAAAUAUUUUCUUCUGUGUUGCACCACCCAGGUGAUGUCUUCUAAACUCUACUUCUUUCCUUUACAACAUUGAGGACAAUGUUUCGUUCUGGUUGGGGGGAGGGAAUAGUCGACAAUUGUGGAAUCUUGGUUAAGUUUUUACUGAUUUUUUGUUGUAGAAACUAACUGUUGCUAACGUUUUGUGUUGAAGAUGGCUGAAUAUGGAGUGUAGUUACUCUAGAAACGCAUCUUCAUCGUUUAAAAAAAAAAAAAAAAAAAAACUUGAUUUCUUCCUCUUUCUCCUUUAUAAAUAUGUAGUUUCAAAUUUUUGAGUCGAAGAUGGCUGAAUAUGGAGUGUAGUGCCUCUAGAAACGCAUCUUCUUAGUUUAAAAAAAAAAAAAAAAAAUUUCUUUUUCUAAUUAAUUUUUUUACAUCAUUUUCACAUUUCUGCAUGCAUAUUUUCCUUUCAUGCUUAGAAUAGGUUGGGGGGUAGAAUGUUGUUUAAAAUAUAUAUAUAUAUAUUUGUGUGAUUUGUUUUAACAUUGGAUGACAUGAUUAAUUUCAAAUUUUAGUAUUUGUAUUAUCUUUGGUCUUAAGUGAUGUUACGCUAUGUUUGCUACUUUACAUGUUGAUGUCGGAGACAAAUAUGAGUUGCUUGAAGGAAUGAACAUGUCAUAAAUAAGUGCCAAGUGAGUUGUUGAGCCUAUCAUUUUCUUGGAGAGUAACCCUUUUGCCUAUUCUCUAUACAGCUUAGCAGUUUAUUAUUUUAUACACGAUCUCUAGAUUUCUUUUAAGUUAACCCUUUAAAAAAAAAUAUGGUAAAAUUAAAAAAAAGAAAAAAAAAAUGUGUGUUGCUACAUUGGGAGGCCCAUCUAACUAGUAGAUAUGGAUAAUUAUUUAGAGCCCUAAAAGACGAUAGAAAGGCCAUCUUUGAUCCGUUUGAGCCUUUCUAGCCAUCCCUUUUAUUAAAUAUCCAUAGUUACCCCUUUUGAGCCUUUAAAAAAAAAAAAAAAAAAAAAAAAAGAACAAAAACCUUUUCUUUGUCAACUUAUCAUCUUGACCCACUCCGAUUUGGAGUAUUACCCAAUGUCUUUUAAGUUCCAUCACCUAUUUAUGUAAAUAAUUAUGUUGUUCAGUGAAGUUAUGCCAAAUAAAAGCAAAAAAAAAAAAAAAAAAAAAAAAAAAAAAAACAAAAACCAAAGUUGUUGUUUCAAAAGAAUAAAAAUAACAAUAAUAGGUAAAAUCCACCUUGCAACUUCCAAAAAAAAAAAAAAAAAAAAAAAAAUAUUUCUGCAUUUUUCUCAAACAUACACUUUGUUUUCCUUAUUUCCUUUCUUUGUUAGCCAUAUCCCUAGCCUACGUUACGUCCUAAUAAAAGUCCUUCUUGAUUUUAGGGAACUAUAGUUUGAAGUAGAAGCUAGUUAUAUGGGCUAAAAAGAUGUAGUGAUGCAUAAUAAAAAAAAAAAAGAUAAAUAAAGUGGGUUGAAUAACAUUUUAUUUGACUUGAGAUCGUAUUAUUUCUAAGCUGAGAGCAUAUUUAUUUCAUCUUGGUGAGAGCAUGUGAUAUCAUUUCUUUAUUAUUUUCUCUCUCAAUUACCAUUCAUUGGAGUGACUAUGUUUAUUGGGUUUUAAUUUCUUUGUGAGAGUGUCACUACUUCCAGUGAGAUUUUGGGGUUUGACAUGUCAUUCUUGAAAGUAGCUAUAACAAAGUCUACUGGGCUAAUUCAUGUGGAUGGUUGAUGUGGGUGUGAUGUUGCUUUAGACUGGAGAUAAUGCUUAUACUUUUAUUUGAUUGCUAUCAUUAAUCUGAUUGAAUAAACACGAGUGUUUCAAAAAAAAAAAAAAAAAAUCAUUUUGAAUUUGAAUUUUGUUUUCGCUUUAUUUGCUAGGGACUAGCAAUAAGCUGGUUGGGGGGUGUGUUGAGUGUUAGAAAAUGCAUAUUUAUAAAGGAGAAAACCGUCAUUUUAUAUUUCAAGUCUUACUAACAACCCUUACUUUUAUGUAUUUAACCUUCUUGUGAUGUAAUUACGUGUGUGUUAUUUUAAUUAAGUAUUUUAUGUAUUUUAGGGGCAUUAUAGUCAUUUCACAAUAAAGGAGAGAUCAGACGGCAAAACGGACAUCACUUUUGAACUCAGGACGGUCGAAAACCUUAGGAGGAGCAUAAAAGGAAAAAUGGCACUAUUCACAUGUACGGUACUAUUCACGUAUACGGUACUGUCUACGUUACUGUUCACGAUACUGUUCACAUAGACGGAUCGAUGACGUGGCAUUGACCGAUGAUGUGGCAUUGACUGAUGAGGUGUCACGAUCCUGUUGGACUAAAAUUCUUAUGUACUGUUGACGGUGACGUGGCAGCAUAUCAGUGGACGAAAAAUCUCGUGUACGGUGCAUGCAUCACACAGGAUUAUUUUCAACCAAACCGCGUUACUGUUCAUCCGGGUCAAACCGUGUUACUGUUCAUCCGCGUGGUCAAACCGUGGACUGUUGACUGAUGACGUGGCGCAAUCCUGAGCGUCCAAACUGUUUUUAAUCCAAUGGCCAUGAUUUACUCCAUGUAUCUAUAAAAAGGGGGCCUCCCCCCCCUAAUUUGAUAUCUCUGAAUCCAUUUUUGGGAUCCAUUUUCUGUAAUUCCCUCUCCAUCUUGUAUUUUCUUUGUAUUUUAAUAAAUUCCCAUUUUGCCCCUAGUUCAAUUAUGAGUAGCUAAUUUCUUUUCAAGCUUAGGUUGAAGGUGAAGUCUCAACAUGUGUCAUGGGCUUUAUUUGGUAAAUUUAUUUUCUUUUCCCCUCUAGUUUUUGUGGAUGAUUUGACUUAUCAUCGACAAAUAAUACUGAUCUUGUCUAGAUACCGCCUUGGUUACACCGGCUCUCUAGUAUAAGGUUAUUAUUAUUUGGCACGAUAAGCCCUUAGCACCAUAUUGAUUAGAGCGUGGUUCAUGAGGUGUGGAUUCCCCCCUCAUGAUUUAAUUGGCAUUAAUAUGGAUUAUUUAGCCCAUGAUGCAUGUUGAUACGGAUCCAGAUACCCAAGUACGUUAUUUCAAUAGAUUUCUCUUCAAUUUACUCUCGCCAUUGCAAUUCCAGUCUUAGAAUUUAUUAUCGCCAUUUCAAUUCCAAUUUUAGGAUAAUUUAAAUCACUUCCACCACAAUUCCAACCACCCAUUUACAAAAUUAAUUCUACAUAUAAUUAAAAUCCACCUCCUCGUGGGAUCGACACUCGUCACCAUUAGUCUAUACUACAAUAGAUUCGUGCGCUUGCGAGUACAUUAAAAUUUGCACAACAGUGUCCUGUUACGAAGAAGAUUAUUUUCAGUAGAGAUGUAACUUUUGAUGAAUCAGCCAUGUUGAAACAAAAAGAUUCUCAAGAGGAUGACAAGACCAGUAGCAUUUUGCAGCAGGUGGAGUUUGAAAAAGUUAAAGCUGAUCCAGCUGGUGUCGAUGAGAUGGAUAGUGAUUCUCCAUCGACCGAAAAUGAUGAAGAGGUUCUGACCCAGGAACCUUCACAACAACAAGAUUCAAUUGCAUAUAGAAGGCCACGCAGAGAGAUUCGCAAACCUGCUCGCUUUGUUGAUAUGGUAGCCUAUACACUUCCAAUUGUAGAUGAUGAUGUUCCUUCCACUUACAGAGAAGCAGUAAGUAAUCCAGAAAGUAUACAGUGGAAGAAAGCAAUGAACGAAGAAAUGCAGUCUCUUCACAAAAAUGAAACUUGGGAGUUAGUUACACUGCCUAAGGAAAAGAAGGCAAUUGGGUGCAAAUGGGUAUAUGCAAAAAAGGAAGGAUUUCCUCGUAAAAAUGAAAUUCGAUACAAGGCUAGAUUGAUAGCGAAGGGUUAUGCUCAGAAGGAAGGAAUAGACUACAAUGAGGUAUUUUCUCCAGUUGUGAAACAUUCGUCUAUUCAAAUUUUGCUAGCCAUGGUUGUGCAAUUUGAUCUUGAACUAGUUCAACUUGAUGUAAAAACUGCAUUUUUACACGGUGAUUUGGAAGAGGAAAUCUACAUGACUCAGCCAGAUGGAUUCAAGGUUGCUGGAAAAGAAAAUUGGGUUUGCAAAUUGACAAAGUCGCUUUAUGGAUUGAAACAAUCUCCAAGGCAGUGGUAUAAGCGAUUUGAUCGAUUUAUGAAAGGGCAAAGGUACACAAGAAAUAAAUUUGAUCAUUGUGUGUAUUUUCGCAAGUUACAAGAAGGAUCUUUCAUUUAUUUGCUAUUGUAUGUCGAUGAUAUGCUAAUAGCAUCGAAGAGCAAAGAUGAGAUAGAGAAGUUGAAAACUCAACUCAACCAAGAGUUUGAGAUGAAAGAUCUAGGUGAAGCUAAAAAGAUUCUUGGCAUGGAGAUAUGCAGAGAUAGAGCUCGUGGCAAAGUAAGCUUGUCUCAAAAGCAAUAUUUUAAGAAGGUACUACAGCAGUUUGGCAUGACUGAGCAGACAAAACCUGUGAGUACCCUGUUGGCUUCUCAUUUCAAGCUUUCUGCACAAUUAUCUCCUUCAACAGAUGCGGAACGAGAAUACAUGUUACAAGUUCCGUAUUCAAAUGCAGUGGGUAGCUUGAUGUAUGCAAUGGUGUGUACAAGGCCUGACAUUUCACAUGCAGUUGGUAUAGUGAGCAGAUAUAUGCAUAAUCCUGGUAAAGGACAUUGGCAAGCUGUGAAAUGGAUUCUACGGUACAUUCAGAAGACCAUGGAUGUUGGUUUACUGUUUGAAAGAGACGAUACACUUGGUCAAGGUGUGAUCGGGUACGUUGAUUCUGAUUAUGCUGGUGAUUUGGACAAACGACGGUCAACCACCGGAUAUGUAUUUACUUUUGCUGGAGGACCAAUUAGUUGGAAGUCUACACUACAGUCUACAGUUGCAUUGUCUACCACAGAGGCCGAGUACAUGGCAAUUACAGAGGCUGUUAAAGAGGCUAUUUGGUUACAAGGUUUGCUUGAAAACUUGGGAUUGACACAGGAGCACAUUAAUGUGUAUUGCGAUAGUCAGAGUGCUAUUCACUUAACGAAAAACCAAGUUUAUCAUGCGCGUACGAAGCACAUCGAUGUACGAUUUCACUUUGUGCGGGAAAUUGUUGAUGAUGGGAAGAUUCUUCUUCAGAAAAUCAAGACUGCAGAGAAUCCCGCAGAUAUGUUGACUAAGGUGGUGACGACGAUCAAGUUUGAGCAUUGUCUAAACUUGAUCAACAUCCUACAAGUUUAAAAGCAGCUAGAGAAGGCAGAAACUGGAAGGUAGUUUGUUGAUAGUCGGCUCAGAUUUACUCAAUUUUCGCCGAGGUGGAGAAUUGUUGAAAAGUCAAAGAAUUGCUUGCCAAAUUGAAAAGGCAAAGUUGGUGGGUUUGCCAAAUUCAAAAAAAACAAAGUUGGUCGGCUAAGCAAUUUCAAAAGACAAAGUUAGGUGUUGAAAAGCUUGUGCAUGCAAUACAAGAUCCAGCUCAAUGGUUUGACAAAUUGAACCCAACUUGGAGCAGAAUUCACUCUAUAAAUAGAGAAGCAUUUUGCAAUUGUAAGUAUCCCAAUUUGAGAGAAGUAGAGAGCAAUUGCAAAUGAGUUCUUUGAGAGAAUUUGAGAGAGCUUCCACUUGAGUGUUCUAGUGAGGUUCCAUUUGGGUGUAUUGGGGUUGUGGGUUUUGUGAGUUUUUCCCACUUUUGUAAAUUUCAUUGUUAGUAAAAUUAUCUUCCAGUUUUUUGCCUGUGGACGUAGGCAUUACGCCGAACCACGUAAAUCACUGUGUUCUAUUUUCUUUGCAUUUGUUUAUCACCACAUUUAUAUUUCUCCAAAAGUUGCAGUAUUAGUAAUUGCUCAACCCACGUUUCCGCAACACAUAUAUAUAUAUGUGUGUGUAUAUAUAAUCAGAAUAUAAUGAAAAUCUUCAAAAUAUCUAAAAAGACUUUUGUAGAUGUCACCAAUUUUCAUAAAUCCUUACCGUUUUGACUCGAAAUAUUUCUACCAGCUAAAGCUUUGAGCACAUCGGCUAGCAUUUUCAUAUCUCUAACAAUAUUUGGCUUCUUCAUUACCUGUAUUCUUGGAUUUUACCAAAGAAUCAAUGAGAUUCCUGAUUCUAUUUGUUUCAGUCAGAGUCUUUUUAUGAGUCAAUUCUCAAUCAGUGCGUUAUUUGUUCAAGUGCGCACACUUGCAUUUAAAUGCCUUUGAAUAUAAAUAAAUAUUAAAAUUAAACUUUAAAGAACAGAGCAAUCAGUCAUGGUGAAAUGACACCAUCAAGAGCAAGAAAAUGCGCCCAAAUUUCUAGUUGGCCAACUGAACUUUUAUUGUGAAGAAUCAUACGAUCGACAGUCUUAAAUUAAGACUACAAAAAUCAUUUAGCCGAAAAAAUAAACUAAUCGAAAAGCAGAAGAACCACUCUUGACUCUCCCACGAUCAAACAAUGACAGCAGCACAAUUGCUUCUCAAAAAUGAAGGGAAGAAUGGAUUAAAUGGGAACAUCUUAGGCCAGCACUUAUUGUUAAUUCCAAUGAUAGCCUUGCAACAAGCAGGGCCAACGCCAUUGAUUUGGCCAGUGGUGAGUGAUUUAUAAACCUCUAAAGCACACCCUUCCGUGCUUGCAAUAGAGGACCAGCAUUCAGUAACUUCAGCCCCAUUAAUCCCUGGCGUCAACAAGAGAUUUGGAGAAGCGACCUUGCUCGCAGCACUCAGUACUCCAGCUUCUCGAGGUGCGGGUGCAGUGCAGAAGUUCUUGAGCAAUGGAGCCAAAAAUGGGUUGAACGGGAACAUCUUAGGCCAACAACUGUCGGUAAUUUGAUUGAUGGCAGUGCAACAAACAGGACCAAUCUGGCCAAUUUGGCCAAUUUGGCCAAGCAACAGGGGACCGAUAAUCUCCGUGAGACAACUUGGUACGCUUGUUAGAGAUGACCAGCAUUUUUCAAUAUCUUGUACAGGCUGCUCUUGUGACAGUCCUGAGGGGAACAGCAUUGUCGCGAACACAACAAUCAGCACCAUAAGAAGGGCAUUUGAUGAUUUUGCCAUCGGAUCAGCAAGAUCACUGGAAGUCUUUGCACUGGUUUUGUUGAUACAAGUUUCCUGUGAUUGAAAAGGAUACUUGUGGUUCUGUGGAAGGAUUAGGUUGGAAGAGAACACACUCUAAAUACUGAUUACGGAAACGCUUGUUGUAAAUUGACGAAACAGUUUCAUAUGUAACAUUUACCAUGAGUUAUGUGCUAAGUGAGUAUUUAUGGCAUAAUUGUAACAGAAAAAUAAUAGCUAGGAAUUUUUUUUUUCAAUUUUUAAUCCAAUCUAUUUGGUUCAAAUACUUAGAUAUCCAACUUGAAUGGAUUUGUUUGCUCUUCCUGGCUGUCAACUCCAUUAAUAACUGUAUUGAGUUCAGUUUUAAAACUCCUAAUAUGAUAACCUAUUUAUGGCACAAUUAAUUAUUCAAUUAAUUAUACUAAUUGACUUAUAUUUUAAUUGAUAGACAUAUGUUGCCAUCUCUAUUGUUGUCCAUGUGCGAUGUUAGCAAGAGAGAAGAAAGAAAAGAAAAUAUUUAUUUUUAGUUUAUUUUUACUAAAGAAAUAUUUAAAUUACUUUCAAAUCGAGUAAUUUUUUUUUUUACCCUUCUCUCAGAUAAGUUAAUAAAAGAUCUUAAACGUAUGGAUGUGUGCGAAUGACUAUUUCAACUUUUGGGGUGGAGUAACAAAUAUCAAUUUAUUUAAGUGUGCAAUUAAAUUUAUUCUUUUUAUUUAAGGACAAAAACUCAACCAAAAAACAAAAUUUAUUGUUCAAACAAACAAAAAUGAUUUUAUAAAUUCAUAAACUAACACUUUAUUAUUAUUAGUAAAUUAACAUAUUUUUACUACAUAAUUAGAUAAUUGACAGUGUGUUAAAUAAAUAUUAUGUUACAAAAAAAAAAUAAAACAUUAACUACAUAGAAUAUGAAAUUAUAUUUAUUUUCGUAUUUUGUACAUUCCAUCCACUUGAUAGUAAAAUCUCGUGUUGAAAAAAAAAAGUUAUGGGGUUUGAACCUUGUUCACAUCGGUAAGAGGAAAUUGGUUGCUAUUAUGUUAAAUUUUUAAAAAAUAUCAUAUUUAUAUUCAUCAUUAAUUGUGGUUAGUAAAUAAUAUACAUAGUUUAACUAUAUAAUAAAUUAGUUAAUUUAUUAAUUAAUAUGUAAAUUUAUUAAUUUAAAUAGAUAUUAAUAAAUGUAACAAAAAAGUCAUUUAAUUAGAAACCUAGUUCAAUAGUGUAAAAAAAGUUAGAAUAUUAUAGACUUAUAUGUUAUAAUUUUAAAACCUUUGAUUUUUCUUAUUUUACAUGAACAAUAGGAGCUUUUAAUGUUAAUAACCCAAGAAUCUCAUCUAAGCCAUGUACAACUCUUAUGAGGAUUUCAAAAAGAUAAAAAAAUGGAGUACCAAAUUCCAUGGGUAACGUAGCUGGACCCCAAUUAUAUAUAUAUAUAAACGCAAUCAGAAUAUAAUAAAAAUCUUGAUAAAUCCUUACCGUUUUGACUCGAAAUAUUUCUACCAGCCAAAGUUUUAAGCACGUCGGCUAGCAUUUUUAUAUCCCUAAAAAUAUUUGGCUUCUUCAUUACCGGCAUUCUUGGAUUUUACCAAUGAAUCAAUGAGAUUUCUGAUUCUAUUUGUUUCAGUCAGAGUCUUUUUAUGAGUCCAUUCUCCAUCAGUGCGUUAUUUGCAGGGAUGGCAAAUAAAUUUUGCUCCUUUUUCGUAGUACAAGCUCUCACAAUAGUUUACAGGGGACUGCAAUUUGGGUCGACAAUCGUUGAAUCGCUUCAAAUCUGGCCUGGACUGGAAGCCGCCCGCAUUUAGAAUCUCAAUUCAGAAAUGCAUAUUUUUGAAGGAGUAUUUUGUUAUUUUGGGAAGUACUUAUUUUUUCAGUCUCGAGUCUCUGCAGAAAGUUCAAAGCCAAUUUUGCCACAAAACAUCACUGGGGAUCCAUCUUUAAUUUGACGAGAAGAAUAACAAUCAAAAUAUGCUUGAAAUUAGUCAACAUAAGGAUGUUUACAACUAAAGAAUGAGCGUGUCCUAGCUAUAUUAUAAUGAAAUAAAGUGAUCUAAUUACAGUGCAAAGAGCGGCAUUGUUCUCGUAAAGGUAGUAAUGCCACUGUAAAAUCGAUAGUGCAAUUAAAAAACAUGUAAAAAAAAAAACACAAGCAGUUCUUGACAUGUAAAUUAAAAUUAACAUAAAAACUUCAAAGCAAUUAAGAAUAGUGAGAAUAUUGUUGGAUCCUUAAUAGAACGUUGGGUUUAUACAUAAAUAAUUAUGUGUUGUAUACUGUCAUAUAAAUUUAAACACAAUUAAAAGUUAUCUAAUUAAGAUUUUCAAUAAUUUGGACUUUAAUAUAUUUAAUAGAGUAUGUGUCUUUUACUAGGAAAAAUUGAGACUCUAUCCUUCUUUUUUUUUUUCUUUCAAAGUAUUAGAAAAAGUCAGAUUCAAUAACAAUACAACGCCUGUCCACAAUUUUUCACUAUUUCUUAUAUAAUAACGUCAUGGGUGAUUAAUUGGGAGCGAAGGUUGUCUUGUCUUUAGGACAAGUUUAGUCGUCUUGUCUGCAUGACAAGUUUUUUGUGAAGUCUCAGUUUCGUUUGGCUUUCUUUCUUCUUCACGAUGGCUGCUAAUGAAGCCACAAUGGAGAACGAUAUUAAUAGAGGGUAUGCUAAUAUAUCCAUUGAGGAGGAGGAAGGUGGAUUAAUUGUGGUCGGUGAUGAGGAGAUUGAUGAUGGCAAGGAGAGAAUUGAUUCCCGCUUCUGUUUAGUAGGUCGUUUUCUCACAGAUAAAGUGAUAAAUUUUGCUGCUAUGAAACAUACCAUGGCCUCACUGUGGCGUCCUGGUAAGGGGGUUUGUAUCAGAGAUUUAUCCCCUACUCUUUUUCUAUUUCAAUUUUUUCAUGAAAUUGAUGUUAAACGAGUUAUGGAAUCGGGCCCUUGGACAUUUGAUCAACAUAUUUUAAUUGUUAAACGGCUGGAAGAGAAUGAGCAACCGCAAAAUAUUCCCCUCUUUUUCACCUCAUUUUGGAUUCAAGUGUACAACUUACCAGUUGGUUUCAUGUCAGAGAAAAUCUUGACAGAUAUUGGUAACUACAUUGGAGUUUUUGUGGAGUCGGAUGAGAAUAAUUUGAUGGGUAUUUGGAGAAAUUACAUGCGAAUCCGGGUGACUAUUGAUGUGCGGAAACCUUUGAAACGAAGAAUGAAGCUGAAGAAGGCAGGGGUGAUUGGCUGUGGAUUGAUUUCAAAUAUGAGCGGCUGAAUAUUUUUUGCUUCAUUUGCGGAUUACUGGGACAUACUGAAAAACAAUGCCCCAAGUUGUAUGAGUUCCCACAUGGUGCCCUAGAGAAGCAUUAUGGGCAUUGGUUGAAAGCACCGAAUAAGAGAUCUACACUGAAUUCCAGCGAUCGUUGGCUGCGAUCGGUGCCGCCAACACAGCCCGAGAAGGAGAAAGGAAACUCCAUGAAUCAAGCAGCUGCCAUGCAAGUUGAUUCGGGGAAUACCAAUAUAUCCGGAGUUGCCGUGUCAAGUAGCAUGGCUAUUGGCAAAAACGUGGGGAUUAUGGUACCAUUUCUGGAAGGUAGUGAGAAAUUUAGAAAAGGGAAUAAUUCCAAUGGAAAGUCAACAAAGGAGCCAGCUCAUCUUAGCGGGGAAAUGGAAACUGUGGAAGAAAUGGAGACAGGGCUUGUUGUUAGCGAGGCCAAAAGAAGGAGAUCACAAGAUAUGAGUCAACUCCAUGUGGGCCUUGAUGGGGAAGGCACAUCUCGGUCUGGGGAUUUUCUAGUGGGCUCAAAAAACGGAUCAGCGGUGGGACCUGUAAAUCAGGCCCACCGAGAUCAAUGAGUACCUUAAGCUGGAACUGCCGUGGGUUAGGCCAACCACGGACAGUUCGGAUGCUAGCAGAAUUGGUCAAUAGUAAGAAACCUUCGUUUAUUUUUCUUAUUGAAACUUUGUGUAGUAGAAGCAAAUUAGAGAGCAUUAAACGACAAUUAGAUUAUGAUGGGCUUUUUGUUGUUGAAAGAGUGGGUCGGAGCGGUGGUCUUGCGCUUUUUUGGAAGGCUCCUAGUAGUGUUAAUCUUUUAAAAUAUGUGAAAAUUUUCAUUGAUGCUGAGGUGGAAGUUCCGGAGCUGGGAAAGUGGAGGUUGACUGGUUUUUAUGGGUGUCCUGAGUCUAGCAGGCGCCGAGAAUCGUGGGAUUUGCUCCGUUUACUAUCGGGGUCGUCUGCUCUCCCGUGGGUUUGCAUUGGUGACUUUAACAAUUUACUAGCGGCUAAUGAGAAAUGAGGCAGAAUUGCACACCCAAAUUGGAAGCUGGUGGGUUUUCAAAAUGCUAUUGCCGAUUGUCAGCUGAUUGAUCUUGGUGUUAUUGGCUACCAAUUUACUUGGGAAAGGGCUAGAGGAACUGAUAAUUGGGUAGAAGAAAGGCUUGACAGAGCUUUUGUGUCUGCGUCAUGGCUCCACCGAUUCAAGGAGGCAAAGGUGUACAGUCUAGAAUCUACUUGUUCGGAUCAUCUUCUUAUUCUUUUAGAUCCUAAUCCGACAGUGCCAAUUUUGAGACAAAAAAGAUUUCGUUUUGAAAAUAUGUGGUUGCGGGAGGCUGAUUGCUGUGAUGUUGUUCGGAAGAACUGGCUUUCCUCUACUGGUAGCUUCAUUCAACAGAAAAUUUUUUCUUGUGGGUCUGCUUUGACGGAGUGGGGUGGAUGGUUAGCUCGAGAUUUUCGUAAACGGAUGCUGGAGUGUAGAAAGCAAAUGACUUUGUUCAGGGGUCGUAGGGAUUGUGAAGGUAUAACUGAGUUCACGAAGGCAAGAAGCCGCUAUAAUGAGCUGUUACAUAGUCAUGAAGUGUUUUGGAAACAGCGAGCAAAAUUACUUUGGCUCAAAGAGGGAGAUAAGAACACUCGAUAUUUUCAUGCCUCGGCUUCAACAAGGAAACAGAAAAAUUCGUUUGGAAACCUUCGAAACAAUCAGGGUGAGUGGUGCACCAAUUCGGAUGAGGUGGAUGAGUUGAUCGUUAAUUAUUUCCAAAAUUUAUUCCAAUCUAAUGGAAGCUCUAGUGCUGAGGUUAUUCAAUGUGUGGAAUCAAGAAUCACGUAUGAGCAGAAUUUAAUGCUCUUGAAUCCUUUUUCUGCCACGGAAGUUAAGGAAGCACUUUUUGCUAUGCAUCCUGACAAGUCUCCCGGCCCGGACGGCAUGAAUCCAGCCUUUUACCAAAGAUUCUGGCACAUUGUCGGUGAGGAUGUGGUUUCGGCUUGUUUACAAAUAGUGAAUGAUUGUUCUUUUCCAGCAGGCUUAAACGACACUUCAGUUGUGUUGAUUCCAAAGAAACAAAAGCCUGAAAUGUUAUCAGACAUGAGACCUAUUGCUCUGUGUAAUGUACUUUACAAAAUUAUAUCCAAAAUGUUGGCUAACCGUAUGAAAUUAGUUCUUGACUUGGUUAUUUCAGAUUCUCAAAGCGCCUUUGUCCCGGGUAGAGCCAUCACAGACAACAUAAUAAUAUCUGCUGAAGUCAUGCAUUUCUUAAAACGGAAGAGGCAAGGAAAACAUGGAGUUGCUGCUCUGAAAAUAGAUAUGUCAAAGGCAUAUGACAGAAUAGAAUGGAGCUUCCUUCAAGCGAUGAUGCUUAAGCUGGGGUUUGAUACCAAAUGGGUGGAGUUAGUUAUGCUUUGCGUGUCCACAGUCCGAUAUAGUGUGCUCCGAGAGGGUAGAGAAGUUGGGCCAAUAGUCCCUUGUAGAGGUCUUCGCCAAGGAGAUCCAUUAUCUCCGUACCUAUUUAUUAUAUGUGCGGAGGGUUUAAGUUCUUUAUUUCGAAGACAGGAAAUGAGUGGCUUACUGCAUGGGGUUAGAGUUGCGAGAGGUGCUCCCAUGCUAUCCCAUUUAUUUUUUGCAGACGAUAGUUUCUUUUUCUUUAGGGCAACACACAAUGAAGCUUUGUUGGUAAAGUAUAUGUUGUCAUUGUAUGGUAAAGCCUCUGGCCAGGAGGUUAAUUUCAGCAAGUCAUCAAUUUCGUUCAAUACUAAUAUUAGUGAGCCCAACGUUCAGCAGAUAUGUGAGCUUCUGGAGGUUAAUGCAACCACUGACCAUGGAGCUUAUCUUGGUCUUCCGUCUUUCAUUGGCAGGAAGAAAAAAGAGGUGUUCCAGUAUAUUCGGGAUAGGGUAUGGAAGAGACUUCAAGGGUGGAGCUCGAAAAUUCUCUCUCGGGCUGGAAAGGAAAUUUUGCUGAAGACGGUAGCUCUUGCAAUGCCUAACUAUGCUAUGAGUGUUUAUCUACAACCAAAAGAUUUGUGUAGAGAGCUGGAAGGAAUGAUGAACUCGUAUUGGUGGCGUCACAAUCACAGGGGUGGCAAAGGUAUUAAUUGGUUGAAAUGGGAAUAUUUGUGCAAACCAAAAGGGCAUGGUGGUCUCGGUUUUAAACAGUUGCACUCUUUCAAUAUUGCACUGCUAGGGAAACAAUUAUGGAACAUUUUAACCCGCCCUGAUUCUCUUAUGGCUAAAGGCGCUUAAAUCUCGCUACUUUCCUCGCAAUUCUGUCCUUCAAGCUUCUUUGGGGCAUAACCCGAGCUUCGUGUGGAGGUCUAUUUUAGCAGCCAAGGAUGUGGUAGUGCAAGGUUGUAGGAUGCAAGUUGGCAGUGGGCACAAUAUUUCCAUCGGACAUGACUCAUGGCUUCCAGACAGUACUAAUGGUUUUGUUUCUACGAAUCUCAAUAAGGAGCUUGCUGCAGCAACUGUUAGCUACUUGAUGAUGCCUAACCAACGGAUCUGGAAUUAUGAGGCUGUGUCGGACCUGUUUAAUGCAAGGGAUAAGGAGUUAAUUUUACAAAUCCCUCUUAGUUCCCGAAGAGAUAAUGAUGCAUGGUACUGGCAGGCCAAUCCUCGCGGAUGCUAUACGGUACGUAGCUGUUAUAAGUUAUUAAAUCCUAUUGUACCUGAUUCAUUUGCUGGUGUGUGGAGGAAACUAUGGAGAUUGAAUGUUCCUAGCAAAGUUAAGAAUUUUAUUUGGAGGGCAGCAAAGAAUGUAUUACCUACUGCAGCUAGCUUACUAACUAGAAGGGUGGCUAUUAUCUCAACAUGUGAUGUGUGUAACGCCAAUGAAGAAACUGUUAUGCAUGCUUUAAUAUAGUGUAGCUUUGCCAAGUCUUGUUGGUUCUCUUCUCCUGUUGGUUUUGUUGGUACUUGCACUUCUUUCUUAGGUUGGCUGGAGCACGUUUUUACACGCUGCAGUGAAGAUAAUUGUAACAUAGCUAUGAUGAUUUGCUGGCGAAUUUGGAUCCAUCGAAAUGAUAAAAUCUGGAACCAGAAAAAUGGCUCUGUUCAGCAAGUCCUUAAUUCAGCUGGGCAGUUUCUUUAUCAGUGGCAGGCAGCUAAGAAGCAAUUGUACUAUGUAGAUGCUGAAGUUCAUCAGGUGGCUCAUGGGGCAGAGAGUUGGGAAAAGCCUGAGUUUGGUUGGGUUAAGUGCAAUGUCGACGCUGCUGUCUUUGCAUCUCAGGGAAGGAUUGGGCUUGGCUGUGUCAUUCGCAACUCAGAUGGUGGUUUUUUUGCUGCAAGAUGUGUUGGCAGGUUUGGAACAUUUGGUGCGAGGGAGGCUGAAGCUCUUGGUAUCCGGGAGGCUCUUAGCUGGCUAAAGGAGUACUAGAUUCCAUGUGUUUUUGUUGAGAUGGACUGCCUUCAAGUUUUUCAAGCUCUGACAGAGGGUUUUUAUGGACCCAAUGGCUUUGGCCUCAUCAUUGAGGAUUGCAGGGAGUUAGCUCUAGCUAUAGGAGAAGUGAAAUUCUCGUUUGUUCGUAGAUCUGCGAAUUUUGCUGCUCACUCUGUUGCGAGGGCAGGAAAUUCUAUGACAGAUUCUCGAGUGUGGAGUUUAGUUCCACCUCCAUGGUUGCUAAACAAAUUGUAAUUCGUUUUUUGCUUAAUGAAAUUCCUUUCAAAAAAAAAAUAGAGUAUGUGUCUUUUAUGUGUAGAGAUUUAAGGAUAAUUUUUAUUUUUAUAGUGAGUUGAAAGUAGAAGUACCUAAAGGUAAAGUUAUCUAUAUAAAUGGUUGUGGUAAAAAAACUUAAAGAAUUCUCCGGGAUAAUGUGUUGAUCUAGAAGAUAAACCACGCUACUUUAAAAAGCAAUUAUUCGUUAUGAAUUCAGAUAUGCUUCCGCGAGCUCAAUUAUUGAUUUUUGGUAAUACAACAUGAAUGUUUCUAAAAUUUAAGCCAUGGUUUUCACCAAUGGAUUAUUUUCUAACAAAUGCAUGUUCAAGUAUAUAUAUUUGCUGAACUUUAUUAAUUUUAUUGUCAAGAAUGAAUCACAAUUCUAAGCUUUGCUAGCGAUGGAAGUACAACCUGUAUUUCUAAGCUCAUUGAAAAACCAGAAAGGAAUGCAGUUCCUUGAUAACUGGCCCAAUCCAUUCAGUGUAAUAACUACCAAGUAACACUAAGCUGUAACAACAAAAUUGCCUAAUCAGGUGUUGGUGCUGCCCCACUAACCUCAGCCCAAGAGCUCUUCAACAAUGGAGGGAAGAAGGGAUUAAAUGGGAACAUCUUAGGCCAGCACUUAUAUCGCUGAUUUCAGUGACAGCUUUGCAACAAGCAGGGCCAAUACCAUUGAUUUGGCCAGUGGUGACUGGUGAGUGAUUUAAAAAUCUCUGAAGCACACCAUUCUUUGCUUGUAAUAGAUGACCAGCAUUCUGUUAUUUCGGUCUCAUUAACAGAUGGCACAGAGAGCUUGCUCCCGGAAUUCGCUCCAGUUGGUUGAUCAGGUGAAAGUGCAGCACAAAAAUUCUUGAGCAAUGAAGGGAAAAACGGAUGACAUGGGAACAUCUUAGGCCAGCAAUCAUCGCUGACUUGAUUGAUGGAGCUGCAACAAGCCGGAUUAAUCUUGCUUGCUUGACCACUGGAUAGUGAAUCACAAAUCUGCCAGAGGCAGCUUGGAAUUUUUGUUAGCUAUGACCAGCCUUUGCCAGCAUCUUGUAGAGGCGGUAAUAGGCCUGAAGUUUUUCCGAUUGGUAUUGCUAAUGGGAACCGUGUACUAGUCCUGUUGGGACAAGAAUUGCUAUGCAUGCCACAGCCAACAUCAUCGGCAUUGUAAUUGCUGAUAUUUUCGCCAUGGAUUCAGCUAUGUGUGCAAACCCUUCGAGUAUUUUCGGAUAUUUAGUUUGUGAUUCUUCCUCAGAAUUAGGUUUGUAGUGAAUUUAUAGUGUUCCUUGAUCGGAUCGAGUUAUUAAUUAAAAUGACAUAACUCAUGUAAUAAAUUACAGUAAUAUUUAUGACUAUUUGGUUGAAAAGAUAAUACUGACGACAUAAUUAACAUACUGAAUUAUAUCUCUUUUGACUAAUAAUUAACGUGCAACUGAAAAUUAAAAUUUUGGUUCCGUAAACAAAAGGGCCCGAAAUUUAGUCAGCCAUUUUCUUUUAAGCCUUGUCCUAUUCAACUUCUUAGCUAAGGCCAACACAAGCUACUGAGCUACAUGGCAAUAUAUCUUUUCAUUUCUUUCUCUGCCAAUUUAAGAUACAAAGAUUAUUGAAAAAAAGAAAAAAGAGGCUCACAAUUGAAUGAUUAAUUUUGCUACCUUUACUCUUUUAGCUUCAAAAUAUGUCAUUGUAAUUUGUGGGCAAAUAAUUACUGCGUCAGACUUGAAACGAUGAUCUUAUUAAAUGAUCAUCGGUGAACAUUGUCUGCAGUUUCGCAGCCUAAUGCUAAUGUAUCAUAUCUUUGGAAAUUCAAUUUCAUCUUUAGGUUGUGUUGACGUGCGUUCAAAGCAAUCUAGUCCAUGUAUUAUAUUUGUUUAGGCUCGGUAAUGGCUUAGGUUUGCAAAUGACUCAGAAGGAUCUUCUGUCUACUGAUAAUAUAAUAAGACUUCAAUUGGAUUGCUACAACAUUUAGCAGAUGGUUCGAAAUUGAUUCUAAAAGAACCGCGAAAGUUCAGCUCCGCUCUUUAUGCGGCCAAAGGAGCGGAAAUAGGCAACUAGACAUAAGCAAUUUAGCAUUUCCAUUUCGGGGUCAUAAUAGAAAGAUAAUUUUUUUGAGAAAACAGAAAUACUGUGAAUUUGAAGGGUUUAACGAUUAAAUUUAAUGUCUUGUGCUCUUGUUAAUUGGAUAUGCAUAUUUUUCACUCAUAAAAAUAACCUGACAAACAAGAAAAUUAUCCUAUUAUUGUAACAUAAUGGUAACUAAUUCUCUCUUUGCUCGUUUGUGCAGGGCUUCAAACCCAUAUCAUUUAUAUUACCAGAGAUUUUAAUAAUUGAAUUCAAUCUCACUACAAAAUUUAUUUAUUAUUUAAAAAAAAAAAGGGGAGGGGGAAGGGAAGAGAAGAAGAAGAAAGAAACAAUACUAAGCCCCAAGGACAAUGCCACAAGUGUUCUGCAGCAAUUGAGGGAAGAAUGGAUUAAAUGGGAACAUUUUAGGCCAGCAUUUAUCGGUGAUUUCAGCGACACCCUUGCAACAAGCAUGGCCAAGACCAUUAAACUGGCCAGUGACGAGUGAUUUAUAAAUCUCUAAAGCACACCCUUCAGUGUUUGUAAUGGAUGACCAGCAUUCUGUUACUUCAGCCAAAUCUGCUUCUGGCACAAAGACCUUGGUCCCAGCAAAUAUAUGGUAAGGUGAAGGUGGCAAAGAGGGGUUGCUUCCGGCAAAUGCAUGAUCAGGUGAAGGUGACGGAGAGAGCGUGGUCUGGUCAAAUGUAUGAUCAGAUGCAGGUGUAACAGAGAGUUUUGUCCCAGCAAAUAAAUGAUCAAAUGAAGGCGCAACAGCACAAAAUUGCUUGAGCGAUGAAGGGAACGUGGGAUGAAAGGGAAGCAUCUUAGACCAGCAUUUAUCCGUCACUUGAUUGAUGCCAUUGCAACAAGCAGGACCGAUAUUGCUAACAUGACCGCUGGAAAGUGAUCUAAAAAUCUCCGAGUGACAAUCUGGAAUGUUUGUUAGCGGCAACCAGCAUUGGUCGGCACCUUUUAGAGGCGGUAAUAUGCCUGGAAUUUGUGAGAUUGGUAUCGUCGGUAGUGGUGGCAGUGUUGUGAACUGCGCUAGUUCUGUUGAGACCAGCGUUGCUGCAAUGCAAGCCGCAGCCAACAUCAUAGGGACUAUAUUUGCUGAUAAUUUUGCCAUUGGACGCCUCCUAUGCAAGUAUUUUCAAGGGAAUUUGAUUUUGUGAUUCUGUGGAGGAAAUUUGUGCGGAAUUUAUUUGUCUUUUGGGGUGACGUUACUUGUGUUGAAGCAUUUACCAUAAUGAAUUGAUGCAACAGUUUUAAUAAUUAACAUUUGUUUUAAAGAGCCUUCUGUUAAUUAACUAAUUAAUUAAAAUUGGAAUAACUCCUGAAUUGGAUUUAAUCAAUAUGACUAAAUCGAGUUCCUUCGUUUGAGUGAAACUGACUAUUAUGGAAUGAGUUAUAUCUCUUUUUCCCAACAUGCAACUGAAAAUUAAAAUUUUGUUCAUUAAAAAUAAACAUGAUUAGAGAGGGAGAUAAUUUUUUUUUUUAAUUUUCCCAAAGGUUAGUAAGGUGAGACAGUGAGUCUUUGUGUUUGGCAAAAUAUUGGACAUUUAAGCGUUGUACGUUUGAAAGUUAUUCAUCCAGAUUCCAGACCAGUUUGCUAGUAAACAAACGUGUCACGUUGUAUUGUAUUUCUUCCGUUGCUUAUUCUUUGGUUAAUAAAUUUUCAAUAAAAUAAAAUUUAAAAAAAAAAAACACCAUUCGGUUGGGCGUUUCAUCAACUAAAUCCACAAACGCAAAUUCAGGAUUUGUAUUCUAUUCUGAUUUAAGCUUUAUGUUGGUCUUUUUAGAAGAAUUUAUGUAUCAAAUCUCAAUUAUUUUCAAAAUAUAUGCACAACAGAAUAUCCAAUUUCACAAAUUCAACCUCCUUCAGUGCUUCUGCCCGAGCAACCCCACUUGGUUUGGUACCCCUUGUUUUUGUCUUUUUCAAGGUGAACUACAAUGGAGUCCUGUUAUUUGUUAUGAAAAUAAAAAUAAAAUAAAAUAAUUUUUUUUUUUAAUUUUUUACACAUUAGUCCUUCACCUACACGUAGCAUCAUUUUUCUCACCCAUUUUUCACCAUCAAUAACAUCAUUUUUCUCACCCAUUUUAAUUAAAAGGUAAUUAAAAUUAUUUUCAAUAUAAAAACAGAAUAAUAAAACAUAAUUAUUACUCUUAUUUUUUAAUUAAUUACAAAAGAAACUUUACAUUAAAAAAUAUAGACAGCCACUGGUGACCACUGCUUCUUCACGUGCAAUGACAUUAUUGAUUGAAAGGGGCCAUGAAGGGUACCAUUAGACUUGAAAUUGGAUGAUCUACACAAUGAUAGUCUCAAUGCCAGAAAAUGGUGAUAUGUAGAGUUGUACGCCCCUUCCAAAAUAACUGCAACCAUAACCACACCACAAAAACACAACAAGUUAUAUUACACUACCACCUUCUUUUUUUCAAUUUACAGACCCUCAAUUUGAUUGUUAAAGGUAAUGAACCUCGAAACGUCGUAUAAUCAUGGGGUCUUGCUAUAGUUGUUUGCAUAGGAAGGUGCAUCUAUCAUCGGCACAUCCAUUUAUCCAGCAAACAUUGCCACCAUCACAUAGAUGAUUGGAGAAUUUUGAAUAUGUUGAUAGUAUUUGUAUUUCUGUUCACUCACUUCUAUUUCUUAGUGAUGGUUCCGUCAUUGUUGUCAUUGAUGGUGCAAUAAUUUUUAGCAAUGUUAUUUUGAUUUUUCAUCUAAUUUACAAAACUUAAAUAUUAAUUAUAAUAUUCAAUUUUGAUCUUGUAUGCUUAAAUAUUACUAAUAUUCAAGUUCAUAUAUGAAUAUCAGAUAAAUCAAAUUCAGAAUAUUUUGGAUGGAUAUUAUCCAAUCUAUUUGGAUCAAAUACUUAGAUUACCAACUUGAAUGGAUUUGUUUGCUCUUCCUAGUUGUCAACUCGAUUAAUAACUGUAUUGGGUUCAAUUUUAAAACUCCUAAUAUGAUAACCUAUUUAUGACACAAUUAAUUAUACUAAUUGACUUAUAUUUUAAUUGAUAGAUAUGUGUUGAACUGUCAUCUCUAUUGUUGUCCAUGUGCGAUGUUAGCAAGAGAGAAGGUAUAAAAGAAAAUGCUUAUUUUUAGUUUAUUUUUACUAAAGAAAUAUUUAAAUUAUUUUCAAAUAGAGUAAUUGUUUAGAUUUGUUUUUUAUCGUUCUCUCAGAUAAGUUAAUAAAAGAUCUUAACUAUAUGGAUGUGUGCUAAUGACUAUUUAAUCUGUUGGGGUGGAGUAACAAAUAUCAAUUUAUUUAAGUGUGCAAUUAAAUAUAUUCUUUUUAUUUAAGGACAAAAAUACAAAACUCAUUGUUCAAA